UGGUUUGAUCGUGGCUCAGAUUGAACGCUGGCGGCAGGCCUAACACAUGCAAGUCGAACGGUAACAGGAAGCAGCUUGCUGCUUUGCUGACGAGUGGCGGACGGGUGAGUAAUGUCUGGGAAACUGCCCGAUGGAGGGGGAUAACUACUGGAAACGGUAGCUAAUACCGCAUAACGUCGCAAGACCAAAGAGGGGGACCUUAGGGCCUCUUGCCAUCGGAUGUGCCCAGAUGGGAUUAGCUAGUAGGUGGGGUAACGGCUCACCUAGGCGACGAUCCCUAGCUGGUCUGAGAGGAUGACCAGCCACACUGGAACUGAGACACGGUCCAGACUCCUACGGGAGGCAGCAGUGGGGAAUAUUGCACAAUGGGCGCAAGCCUGAUGCAGCCAUGCCGCGUGUAUGAAGAAGGCCUUCGGGUUGUAAAGUACUUUCAGCGGGGAGGAAGGGAGUAAAGUUAAUACCUUUGCUCAUUGACGUUACCCGCAGAAGAAGCACCGGCUAACUCCGUGCCAGCAGCCGCGGUAAUACGGAGGGUGCAAGCGUUAAUCGGAAUUACUGGGCGUAAAGCGCACGCAGGCGGUUUGUUAAGUCAGAUGUGAAAUCCCCGGGCUCAACCUGGGAACUGCAUCUGAUACUGGCAAGCUUGAGUCUCGUAGAGGGGGGUAGAAUUCCAGGUGUAGCGGUGAAAUGCGUAGAGAUCUGGAGGAAUACCGGUGGCGAAGGCGGCCCCCUGGACGAAGACUGACGCUCAGGUGCGAAAGCGUGGGGAGCAAACAGGAUUAGAUACCCUGGUAGUCCACGCCGUAAACGAUGUCGACUUGGAGGUUGUGCCCUUGAGGCGUGGCUUCCGGAGCUAACGCGUUAAGUCGACCGCCUGGGGAGUACGGCCGCAAGGUUAAAACUCAAAUGAAUUGACGGGGGCCCGCACAAGCGGUGGAGCAUGUGGUUUAAUUCGAUGCAACGCGAAGAACCUUACCUGGUCUUGACAUCCACGGAAGUUUUCAGAGAUGAGAAUGUGCCUUCGGGAACCGUGAGACAGGUGCUGCAUGGCUGUCGUCAGCUCGUGUUGUGAAAUGUUGGGUUAAGUCCCGCAACGAGCGCAACCCUUAUCCUUUGUUGCCAGCGGUCCGGCCGGGAACUCAAAGGAGACUGCCAGUGAUAAACUGGAGGAAGGUGGGGAUGACGUCAAGUCAUCAUGGCCCUUACGACCAGGGCUACACACGUGCUACAAUGGCGCAUACAAAGAGAAGCGACCUCGCGAGAGCAAGCGGACCUCAUAAAGUGCGUCGUAGUCCGGAUUGGAGUCUGCAACUCGACUCCAUGAAGUCGGAAUCGCUAGUAAUCGUGGAUCAGAAUGCCACGGUGAAUACGUUCCCGGGCCUUGUACACACCGCCCGUCACACCAUGGGAGUGGGUUGCAAAAGAAGUAGGUAGCUUAACCUUCGGGAGGGCGCUUACCACUUUGUGAUUCAUGACUGGGGUGAAGUCGUAACAAGGUACCC
RNAcentral lists this ribosomal RNA (1502 nucleotides) under uncultured bacterium. Its description in RNAcentral is "bacterial SSU rRNA". It matches the Rfam family "Bacterial small subunit ribosomal RNA". The record is from RNAcentral.